Molecule: long non-coding RNA, 2493 nt
Filed under: Homo sapiens (human)
Lineage: Eukaryota; Metazoa; Chordata; Mammalia; Primates; Hominidae
Description: HSALNT0238045
Source: RNAcentral
CGGGCAGUCAGGGUCAUCAUGAAGUUGCUGUGUUUCUAAGUAAAGGAGCUCCCUUGAGAAGAGAUAGGGAAGUUUGUGAGAAAUAUGUCAGCUUUCGUGGCCUCUGAAGGUCAAGUGAACUCUGGCAUUUAAACACAGCGGCCAGAGUCACUACACAUCCUGUGUUUUCUUUAUGAGAAGAAAAGCUUGGCAAGGGAAAUGUCAGCAACAAGGUACACGCAGCUGGUUCGCCGCAAGACGGCCACCCAUGUCGUGCUGUCUUCACAUAUUCCAGGCACUGGGAGGUCUCUCCAGGAUUAAGGCCACCACCCUCCCCUCACUGCCGCCUCCCCUGUCAUGCACAUGGGAAAGGCCUGGCUCCUCUUAGGCCAGGCAGACCACCCUACUUUAUUUGGCCUUGGGGCCAGUGGACAGGCCUUCUAGGGCUGCCACCUUGGUCCCCAGGGGCAGUGCACUACACACCAGGCAUCGGCAGUGGGCACGACUCCCUCUGGGAUUGUGCAAACAGGACCUCUCUCCAGCAGCUCCACGGAGCAGGUCUCAAGAGCCCCGGACCUGGGUUUGAAUCUCAGCGGUGCCACUGGCUGGCUGACUGUAGGACUUUGGGCAAGUCACUUUACCUCUCUCAGCCUCUGCUUUUUCCUCUGCUAAGUGGGAACUAGAAGGCUGACCUCUCAGGGCUGCUGGAAGGGACAGAGGGGCAUGUAUAGAGUCCCUGGCCCAUCCUUAGGGAGAUGAGGGGAGAAACUUACACCCACUCACAUAUUCACACACACACACACACACAUACACACUCCAAACAAAGUUUCAUUUUUUUUCUUUUUUUUUUUGAGAUGGAGUUUCCACUCUUGUUGCCCAGGCUGGAGUGCAAUGGCGCGAUGAUCUCAGCUCAGUGCAACCUCCACUUCCCGGGUUCAAGUGAUUCUCCUGCCUCAGCCUCCCGAGUAGCUGGGAUUACAGGCACUUGCCACAACAUCCGGCUAAUUUUUUGUAUUUUUAGUAGACGGGGUUUCAUCAUGUUAGCCAGGCUGGUCUCAAACUCCUGACCUCAGGUGAUCCACCUGCCUCAGCCUCCCAAAGUGCUGGGAUUACAGGUGUGAGCCACUGCACUGGCCCUAAUCAGGUUUCAAAUCCUUCUCUAAAUACCCAUCCUAGGCCACCAUGUCUCACUGAUUCUUUUAUUCCUUUUUUUUUUAAGAACAAUAUCUAAAAUGCAAAAAAAAAAAAAGGAUAUAAUAAUAAACAGUCAUAUUUUCAUCACCCAGAGAAGUCCAGCCGCCAAGCAGGUGGCCUUUGAUGGUGGGAGGCAGUGCCACCCCUGCCCUGCCUCCCUCUUCACUCUGGCUUACCCCAUGGUGCUUUUCUGGCGCAGAUGAGGAAACAGGGAUUUGAGGGCUGCAGGAGGCAGAGGAGCCAUCCUCCCGGUUCUCUCAGACAGGACAGGAAGCCUGGAGCACCCAGCUUCACAGAGGCCCCAGCACUUCCGUAGGCCUCGCACCACCUCCCUCACCCGCCUUUGCCAAGCCACCCGCUGUGAUGAUUUGAAGGCCACUCCGGCAGGGCAGAGAGGCCCUGCAGGUGUAACGCAUUGAGCUGGGUGAGCUGGGCAGCCUUGGAGUUGAAAGGACCCCAGGAAUCCAGUCCAGGUCCCCUGUGGUGCAAAUGGGGAAACUGAGGUCCGGACAGGGAGAGGACCUCACCCAGCCGGUGGCUGCCAGGUAACGCAUGUCUUUGGUUUUGUCCCUUUAACUCUGUGAGUCUGGGUCUCAGUCUCCUCAUCUGUCAGUUAUAAAUGAUAAUCCCACUACAGUCCCAGGGCAUUGCCGGAGAAGCUGGCGGCGGCGUGGCAGUUGCUGUUCUCUGAAAAGUCCCCACUGUUCCUGCCCUCCCAGCCUUGGUCUUUGCUGGGCCCUGGGGUCCCUUCCUCAGGCUCCUCCCUGCUGAGCCCGCCCCCCGCACAUCCUGGCUUGGGUCCCUGCAGUAAGCCCUGUUCUCACCCCCACCCCCGUCCAGGAACAAGGGCUGGGAUGCUCUCACCAGCGUCAGCUUCUCUCAUGCUGAAAGCUCUGACUCUUGCACCAUGCCCAGGCCAGAGCCCUCACUCAAUGCACUGAAUAACUGAGCACACACAGGCACACCUGGAAUCCUAACCGCUUCCACGGUCCCCUAAAUGCUCAUCCUGAGCCAGAAAGUCUAACUGACUCUUUUGUUGUUCUUUUUUUUUUUUUUGAGACAAGGUCUCGUUCUGUCUCCUAAGCUGGAGUGCAGUGGUGCAAUCAUGGCUCACUGUAGCCUCCAACUCAUAGGCUCAAGAGAUACUCCUACCUUAGCCUCUCAAGUAGCUAGGGCUGCAGAUGUGACCACCGCACCUGGCUAAUUAUUAUAAUAUUAUUAUUGUUAUUAUUUUUUGAGACGGAAUCUUGCUCUGUUGCCCAGGCUGGAGUGCAAUGGCAUGAUGUCCCGGCUCACUACAACCUCCACUUCCCGGGUUCA